Molecule: ribosomal RNA, 1482 nt
Filed under: Triticum aestivum (bread wheat)
Lineage: Eukaryota; Viridiplantae; Streptophyta; Magnoliopsida; Poales; Poaceae
Description: partial small subunit ribosomal RNA
Source: RNAcentral
AUGGCGGCCAUCUUGGGAAUGGGAGCUCCCGUGCUACUGGCCGCUGCCUUGGGGGCGGCCUGCGGGCUCCUGUUCUGGCUCCGGGUGGCCCGGAGGAGGCCGGCCGACGAUCCGAUGCGUGGCAUCCCGGGGAACAUGGGGUGGCCGGUGGUGGGCGAGACCUUCGCCUUCAUCGCCGCCUUCUCCAACCCGGCCGGCAUCCUGAGCUUCAUGCGGGAGCGGCAGGCGAGGUACGGCAAGGUGUUCAAGACGUACGUGCUGGGGCGGACGACGGUGUUCAUGACGGGGCGGGAGGCAGCCAAGAUCCUGCUCUCCGGCAAGGACGGCGUGGUGAGCCUCAACCUCUUCUACACCGGCAAGCAGGUGCUGGGCCCCACCAGCCUGCUCACCACCAACGGCGACGAGCACCGGCGGCUGCGCCGGCUCAUCGCGCAGCCCCUCUCCGUGGACGCUUUACGGAAGCACUUCGCCUUCAUCGACGGCCUCGCCGUGCAGAUCCUCGGCUCCUGGGCCGGCCGCGGCCGCGUGCUCGUCCUCGACGAGGCCUCGCAGUUCACGCUCAAGGUCAUCGCCAACAUGCUCGUCAGCCUGGAGCCGGAGGGCCCCGAGCAGGAGGAGUUCCGGGCCAACUUCAAGGCCAUCUCCUCCUCCUUCGCGUCGCUGCCGCUCAAGCUCCCCGGCACGGCCUUCCACCGCGGCCUCGGCGGCCGGAACCGGAUGUACGCCAUGCUGGACGAGGUGAUCGCGCGCCGCAGGGCCGGCGAGGUCCGCGAGGACUUCCUCCAGACGCUGCUCAUGAAGCACGCCCGCGGCCAGCAAGCCGGCGCCGCCGCGGCGUCGGACCCGGCGGAGGAGGAGAAGCUGACGGACGCGCAGCUCAAGGACAACAUCCUGACCCUGCUGGUGGCCGGCCACGACACCACCACGGCGGGCCUGACCUGGCUCGUCAAGUUCCUCGGCGAGAACCCCGACGUGCUAGCCAAGCUGAGGGAGGAGCACAUGGCGAUCCGGGCGGCGCACGACGGCGACGACACACAGCACCUGUGGUGGUCGGACCUGAGCAGCAUGCCGUACACGACCAAGGUGAUGAACGAGACGCUGCGGCGGGCCACCAUCCUGCCGUGGUACUCGCGCAAGGCCGCGCAGGACUUCAGCAUCGACGGCUUCGAGGUGGCCAAGGGCGCGUCGGUGAACCUGGACGUCGUGUCCAUCCACCACGACGCCGCCGUCUUCGCCGACCCCGAGCGCUUCGACCCAGACAGAUUCGAUGGGUCGCUGAAGCCGUACAGCUUCCUGGGGUUCGGCAGCGGGCCGCGGAUGUGCCCCGGGAUGAGCCUCGCCAAGCUCGAGAUCUUCGUCUUCGCCCACCACCUAGUCUGCACAUACGACUGGAAGGCGCUGGAGGAUGACGCCUCGGUGCAGCCGACGCUGGUGCGCAUGCCCAAGAACAAGUACCCCAUCCUCGCCACCGCGCUCCCCUGA